Non-coding RNA from Cladochytrium replicatum, 73 nucleotides. Lineage: Eukaryota; Fungi; Chytridiomycota; Chytridiomycetes; Cladochytriales; Cladochytriaceae. The record is from the annotation of a GenBank genome assembly.
AGGGCUGUAGCGCAGUGGAUAGCGCGUUCGACUUCGGAUCGAAAGGUCGAGAGUUCGACCCUCUCCUGCCUCG